RNAcentral lists this small RNA (153 nucleotides) under Gleimia coleocanis. RNAcentral's name for it is "Actinomyces coleocanis c-di-AMP sequence". It matches the Rfam family "c-di-AMP riboswitch aptamer (ydaO/yuaA leader)". From Rfam's summary of the family: This family represents a conserved RNA structure found upstream of the ydaO and yuaA genes in Bacillus subtilis and related genes in other bacteria. Lineage: Bacteria; Bacillati; Actinomycetota; Actinomycetes; Actinomycetales; Actinomycetaceae. RNAcentral also lists the same sequence under 1 other name. The record is from RNAcentral.
ACGGUAUCUUUGCUGAACGAACAGCGUUAGAGUGCGGGGGACCCAUUUUUGGGAUUAUCCCUUGGGGUGAAGCAGAAAAAGUCGCAAGGCUUACUGCCAGGAGACUCCAUCCUGAACCCGACAGCUUACCUCGUAGGCCAUAGGAGAAUAAGA